AACGAACGCUGGCGGCAGGCUUAACACAUGCAAGUCGAGCGCAUCCUUCGGGGUGAGCGGCGGACGGGUGAGUAACGCGUGGGAACGUGCCCUCUUCUACGGAAUAGCCUCGGGAAACUGAGAGUAAUGCCGUAUACGCCCGCAAGGGGAAAGAUUUAUCGGAGGAGGAUCGGCCCGCGUUGGAGUAGGUAGUUGGUGGGGUAACGGCCUACCAAGCCGAAGAUCCACAGCUGGGUUGGGAGGCAGGUCAGCCACACCUGGACGGGGAAGCGGCCCAGACUCCUACGGGAGGGAGGAAUGGUGGAUGGUGGAACAUCGGGGCAACCAUGAUCCAGCCAUGCCGCGUGAUCGAUGAAGGCCUUAGGGUUGUAAAGAUCUUUCAGCUGGGAAGAUAAUGACGGUACCAGCAGAAGAAGCCCCGGCUAACUCCGUG
This 433-nucleotide ribosomal RNA is filed under the name uncultured bacterium. RNAcentral's name for it is "partial 16S ribosomal RNA". It matches the Rfam family "Bacterial small subunit ribosomal RNA", at positions 29 to 507 of the family's 1533-position model. The record is from RNAcentral.